Molecule: ribosomal RNA, 613 nt
Rfam family: Bacterial small subunit ribosomal RNA
CCGAGCGUUGUCCGGAAUUACUGGGCGUAAAGAGCUCGUAGGUGGUUUGUCGCGUUGUUCGUGAAAACUCACAGCUCAACUGUGGGCGUGCGGGCGAUACGGGCAGACUGGAGUACUGCAGGGGAGACUGGAAUUCCUGGUGUAGCGGUGGAAUGCGCAGAUAUCAGGAGGAACACCGGUGGCGAAGGCGGGUCUCUGGGCAGUAACUGACGCUGAGGAGCGAAAGCGUGGGGAGCGAACAGGAUUAGAUACCCUGGUAGUCCACGCCGUAACGGUGGGUACUAGGUGUGGGUUUCCUUCCUUGGGAUCCGUGCCGUAGCUAACGCAUUAAGUACCCCGCCUGGGGAGUACGGCCGCAAGGCUAAAACUCAAAGAAAUUGACGGGGGCCCGCACAAGCGGCGGAGCAUGUGGAUUAAUUCGAUGCAACGCGAAGAACCUUACCUGGGUUUGACAUGCACAGGACGUGCCUAGAGAUAGGUAUUCCCUUGUGGCCUGUGUGCAGGUGGUGCAUGGCUGUCGUCAGCUCGUGUCGUGAGAUGUUGGGUUAAGUCCCGCAACGAGCGCAACCCUUAUCUUAUGUUGCCAGCGCGUAAUGGCGGGGACUCGUGAGAG